RNAcentral lists this ribosomal RNA (826 nucleotides) under uncultured crenarchaeote. RNAcentral describes it as "bacterial SSU rRNA". It matches the Rfam family "Archaeal small subunit ribosomal RNA", at positions 52 to 859 of the family's 1478-position model. The record is from RNAcentral. Lineage: Archaea; Thermoproteati; Thermoproteota.
UGCUAGUCGUGCGCUUCAGCCAAAACGAGGCGCGGCAUACAGCUCAGUAACACGUGGCUAAUCUGCCCUUGGGACGAGAACAACCCCGGGAAACUGGGGCUAAUUCUCGAUAGGUGAAGAACUCUGGAAUGAGUCUUCGCUUAAAAAACUUCACGUUACGCUCGUGAAGUCGCCCAAGGAUGAGGCCGCGACCGAUCAGGUUGUUGGUGAGGUAAUGGCUCACCAAGCCUUUUACCGGUGCGGGCCGUGGGAGCGGGAGCCCGGAGAUGGGCACUGAGACAAGGGCCCAGGCCCUACGGGGCGCAGCAGUCGCGCAAACUUUGCAAUACACGAAAGUGUGACAGGGCUAUCCCGAGUGCCGUCCGCUGAGGAUGGCUUUUACCCAGUCUAGAACGCUGGGGGAAUAAGGAGAGGGCAAGUCUGGUGUCAGCCGCCGCGGUAAUACCAGCUCUCCGAGUGGUGUGGAUGUUUAUUGGGCCUAAAGCAUCCGUAGCUGGCCAAGUUAGUCCCUUGUUAAACCCACCGAAUUAAUCGUUGGAUUGCGGGGGAUACUGCUCGGCUAGGGGACGAGAGAGGCAGACGGUAUUUUCGGGGUAGGGGUGAAAUCCUAUAAUCCCGGGAAGACCACCAGUGGCGAAGGCUGUCUGCUAGAACGCGCCCGACGGUGAGGGAUGAAAGCUGGGGGAGCGAACCGGAUUAGAUACCCGGGUAGUCCCAGCUGUAAACGAUGCAGCUAGGUGUUUGGACGGCCACGUGCCGUUCUAGUGCCGCAGGGAAGCUGUUAAGCCUGCCGCCUGGGGAGUACGGUCGCAAGAUUGAAACUUAA